RNAcentral lists this ribosomal RNA (496 nucleotides) under uncultured bacterium. Its description in RNAcentral is "partial 16S ribosomal RNA". It matches the Rfam family "Bacterial small subunit ribosomal RNA", at positions 28 to 506 of the family's 1533-position model. The record is from RNAcentral.
GAUGAACGCUGGCGGCGUGCCUAAUACAUGCAAGUCGAGCGAACAGACGAGGAGCUUGCUCCUCUGACGUUAGCGGCGGACGGGUGAGUAACACGUGGAUAACCUACCUAUAAGACUGGGAUAACUUCGGGAAACCGGAGCUAAUACCGGAUAAUAUAUUGAACCGCAUGGUUCAAUAGUGAAAGACGGUUUUGCUGUCACUUAUAGAUGGAUCCGCGCCGCAUUAGCUAGUUGGUAAGGUAACGGCUUACCAAGGCAACGAUGCGUAGCCGACCUGAGAGGGUGAUCGGCCACACUGGAACUGAGACACGGUCCAGACUCCUACGGGAGGCAACAGUAGGGAAUCUUCCGCAAUGGGCGAAAGCCUGACGGAGCAACGCCGCGUGAGUGAUGAAGGUCUUCGGAUCGUAAAACUCUGUUAUUAGGGAAGAACAAAUGUGUAAGUAACUAUGCACGUCUUGACGGUACCUAAUCAGAAAGCCACGGCUAACUACGU